AGGAUGGGGGCGUACUCCUCACAUGGCCCCCCCGUGGCUGCUCCUCGUGGGAGGAACACCUCGUCUGUGCUCUGCAGCUUCCUCAGCUCCUCCCGUGUUCUCCAGAAGCCUGCAGACAGAUCCAGACUUGUCUGCUGCAGCGUACCCGUCCCGAGUCCAGCCACCAGAGCAGCUCCUAGACAGGACAUCUCUCUGUGCUGCAGUCGGACCAGCUUUCUACCACACAGGUCGGCAGUUAGCUGCAUGACAAAGUCAUUGGAGGAAACGCCGCCGUCCACCCUGAGACACGCAGGACGACCGCAUUAGCAGAACCCAGAGAACCGCAUGAAUGAACGUCAGCUUUUAUUCACCGCACUUUGGAGGAAAAAUCCUGAGGACUCGCCUGAAGGCGACCGACUCCAGAAUGGCCCGGAUCAGAUGGCUCUUGGUGGAAGAAGGUUUGAGGCCCAUCAAGGAAG
This is a long non-coding RNA of Oryzias melastigma (Indian medaka), 458 nucleotides long. RefSeq lists it as uncharacterized. The record is from RefSeq and is a predicted model, not a curated record. The transcript has 3 exons. NCBI's taxonomy places the organism in Eukaryota, Metazoa, Chordata, Actinopteri, Beloniformes, Adrianichthyidae.